GGGGGAGGGUCUAGCAAGUCAACAUUUAAGGUAAAACUAUAUUUAAAAAAAGGACUACGCAUCUACCAUACAUGAAGCUCCUUGAAAAGGGCGUGCCUUCCGCUCCCUUCUCCCCCAAAAAAAUGUGCCUCGGCAAUUUUAAACCCUUUUACCCAAUAUAUUCAUGUAGCUGUACAAUGGAGGCUAUGGGACUACAAUCUAAGUAGACAUCAGAUUCUGAAUCACCGAAAUUCAACUUAUAUUUUCAUGUAUAAUUUGAUAAUUAAAUUUUAAC
This 274-nucleotide long non-coding RNA is filed under the name Mytilus galloprovincialis (Mediterranean mussel). Lineage: Eukaryota; Metazoa; Mollusca; Bivalvia; Mytilida; Mytilidae. The record is from RNAcentral.